Molecule: non-coding RNA, 865 nt
Organism: Solanum lycopersicum (tomato)
Lineage: Eukaryota; Viridiplantae; Streptophyta; Magnoliopsida; Solanales; Solanaceae
Source: RefSeq, a predicted model, not a curated record
GUGGUGAAAUUUGAGAGAUCUUUGAUGAGGUAAGGGAAGGUGAUCGUGUGACAUGUUUAUUUAGGUAUAUAUAUAAAAAAUGGAUUAUGAAUUUAUGUUUCUUUAGUGGGUAAAUAGGAUAAGGUCAUCGAUGACAUUUGUUAAACAAGAAAGUGUUAAAUCUGUUAAUAAAUAAAAAAUAUUUAUAUCAUCAUUGAUAAUUUUAAUAAAGUAACACAGAAUUAUUUGCAAGUGUCACGGGAGAUUCAAAAAGGUAACUAAAAAAAAUAAUCUAAACUUUGGUUGGUGAACAAAUCCCAGAGAAGAAAAAAAACACGAAAGGGGUGGAAGCAAAUUAUGAGGAAAAAACUUAUACGCAUCGAUUUGAUUUAUUCUUGAACUGAUUGGGUAGAAAGAAAGAGAUUUAUGGUGUCAAAGUUUUCCGACGAACAAACUAAGAUGGCAAUCUGAAAGUUGUAACUGAUUGAUUGAAAUUUUAUGGAGAAAGAAAGACAUUGACGACAUAAAUUUGGAGAAAAAUGAGGUGGUGUUGAUGGUGGAUGGUUGGGGUGAUGAGGGGGGGAAGAGGACGAUGGAGAAAGAACGGAAAGGAGAAGAAUGGGUAAAGUGACGAGAGGCCCGGUAAGAAUCAAGGUGGUGCGAAGAAGAAGAAUGACUGCAACGAAAUGAACUUUAAUGGUGGCGAUACCAACGAUUGCCGGAAAGGUGAUGGCAACGGUGGUUAAGUCAAAGAAGAAGAAGAGAUGAUAAUUUAAUUUAAAAAAAGAUAAAUCUUAUUAUGCCCUUUCACUGUGUAUUACACACAUAUUGUCAUGUCAGCAUAAAAUGUUUAAUAAUUAAAAUUUCUUACAGUUUAGGUGUUCAA